GACGAACGCUGGCGGCGUGCCUAAUACAUGCAAGUCGAGCGGACGGAUGGGAGCUUGCUCCCAGACCGUCAGCGGCGGACGGGUGAGUAACACGUGGGCAACCUGCCUGUAAGACUGGGAUAACUCCGGGAAACCGGGGCUAAUACCGGAUAACUCUUUCCCUCACAUGAGGGAAAGCUGAAAGAUGGCAUCUCGCUAUCACUUACAGAUGGGCCCGCGGCGCAUUAGCUAGUUGGUGAGGUAACGGCUCACCAAGGCGACGAUGCGUAGCCGAACUGAGAGGGUGAUCGGCCACACUGGGACUGAGACACGGCCCAGACUCCUACGGGAGGCAGCAGUAGGGAAUCUUCCGCAAUGGACGAAAGUCUGACGGAGCAACGCCGCGUGAGUGAUGAAGGUUUUCGGAUCGUAAAACUCUGUUGUCAGGGAAGAACAAGUACCGGAGAAACUGCCGGUACCUUGACGGUACCUGAACAGAAAGCCACGGCUAACUACGUG
This 498-nucleotide ribosomal RNA is filed under the name uncultured bacterium. RNAcentral's name for it is "partial 16S ribosomal RNA". It matches the Rfam family "Bacterial small subunit ribosomal RNA", at positions 28 to 507 of the family's 1533-position model. The record is from RNAcentral.